RNAcentral lists this ribosomal RNA (78 nucleotides) under Amycolatopsis pithecellobii. RNAcentral's name for it is "Amycolatopsis sp. RM579 Bacterial small subunit ribosomal RNA". It matches the Rfam family "Bacterial small subunit ribosomal RNA", at positions 1 to 78 of the family's 1533-position model. Lineage: Bacteria; Bacillati; Actinomycetota; Actinomycetes; Pseudonocardiales; Pseudonocardiaceae. The record is from Rfam by way of RNAcentral.
UUGUUGGAGAGUUUGAUCCUGGCUCAGGACGAACGCUGGCGGCGUGCUUAACACAUGCAAGUCGAACGCUGAUCCGGU